This 576-nucleotide long non-coding RNA is filed under the name Amborella trichopoda. RNAcentral's name for it is "long non-coding RNA (ATRI_LNC005258)". The record is from RNAcentral. Lineage: Eukaryota; Viridiplantae; Streptophyta; Magnoliopsida; Amborellales; Amborellaceae.
GUUAACAACCUUAACAAAUGAUUGGUAAUAAAUACACCAAUGUUCCUAAUGUCAAAAACUAAUAUAAUGAGUGAAACUAUGAAAAAGUGGUGGCAAAAGUAGCCUGGGCGGUGGUACUUGUGGGGCUAACAAGGGUAAAAGUAAAAGCCAUGGUACGAGUUAACAAAUGGUACUAGAAUCAUGAAUUAUUGCGGAAUUGCCACUUAGCCCACAUUUGAAGUCAAUGAGAGUUAAUGUCCAUGGUCGACUUAGGGAAAGCGACAUGAAUGAGAAAGCUUUAUUAUCUCCCUCCAAAAAUGGCAAAAAUAGCCUUGUUUCAGUUGAGCUACCCAAAAGAAAUACUCUGUCUCGCUCCAAAAAUAGCAAAAAUAGCCCUUCUUUUUUCAAAUAAGGUAAUCUUAAGGGUGGCAAUGUUACACCCGUGACCCACGGGGACACUCAGACCUCGGAUUCAGUUAUGGGUCCACAAUUUUGGACCCGAAUAUUAUUUAAAUCUGGUUUCGAGUUUAGGUCCCGGGCUAGCUAUACCCGACCCAUACUUGUAGUCAUGACAUAUAUGAUGCAAUCAUGUGCAGG